AAAAAACCUAGACGUUUCUUUGGUUUUUAAUCGAUUUCAUAUGGAAUCAAUGUUUUGUCUUCACGAAAGCGUUUGAACAUUUAUUACGAGAUUCAUCGUAACAUAAAAAUAUCGGUGGUCGUGAUGUUUGUUUUACAAGCGUUUAAAGUUCCGGUUUCGACAAAAAUCACGGCGGGCGAUACCUAUUAAACAUGUUCAACCGAACUUCGCCCAGAAUCGUUUUAUCGUCAACAAUGGUUUAUCGUUGCGUACAGAUAUAAAUUGAAUUACUCCGAAUGUCAUAUCCUACCUUCCAAACUUAUUUUCACGUAUUCAAAUUAUUAUCAAGGACAUUUUUUUAUUUUUUUAUUUUUAAAACACCCUCCGUCCGUUCUUCCCUGGUCGCACCACCGGUACCGGUUAAUAUCCGAAAAAUUACCGAACGUAAACAAUGUACCCGUUACCUGCACCGGUUUACACCAGAGCACAUUUCGAUUAUUCGGUAAUCUAUCUACAGAAAGAUAUAACAAUCAAUCAAUAGGCAUACAAAUAAUAUCUCAAGAAAGAACCUACGACUACCUACGCGAUAUAGGCACCUAGAUAAUAAUUUUAUAAUAGGCCAUAAUAGAGUUCGUGCUAUUAUAUCAAAUUGGUGUAUUUCAGAGAUGCGCGUUUCGCUGUCGUAUUAUUAUAUUGCAGUGUAGAUUUUAGCAGUGGGUACGCUCCUAAGAGUAUUUAGCUUUCGGCUAUACUACAAACCAUUCGUAAUCACUUGGGUAGGCGCCUUGAUAAGCCGUUAGCCUCAAUGCCGAGUGCGGAACGCCUGCGCAUAAUGUAUUUUCUGAAACCUAUGCAAAUUGAGUACGGUAAAUUGUAUUGCAAAGUCGAUAACUCGCAUGUGUAGAUACGCAAUUACGUCUACGUAUCUAAUCCGAGUUAAUUCAAUAGGUUAGAGGUCAAUCCCGAAUCGUGU
Cinara cedri is the source of this 952-nucleotide non-coding RNA. NCBI's taxonomy places the organism in Eukaryota, Metazoa, Arthropoda, Insecta, Hemiptera, Aphididae. The record is from the annotation of a GenBank genome assembly.